CUUUGGUCGCGGAUCCCACUUACCUGGGACUAACCGGUGCACCACCCCUGACUGCUGAAAGUUCUGGUUCCCGGGUUUCGGCACCACUUGUCGUGACCCCUUGCCCGCAAGGAAGACGCAACUCAGGAAUCUUCUUUCAGCAGUUUAUUCAGGCCCUUGAUAUUUCUUCUUCUCUCCCUCGGAUGCCCCUCCCAGCCUUAAUAAAGCAUCUCAAGCCCCAGUGCGAAGCUGCCACGUGGAGCUUUCUCAUAGGGUGGUGAAAAACCAUGCACCAACUCUCCCAAAUAAGGAGUUGUUUGUCACAGACCACAGCGGAGCCAGCGCCAUCUUGUAAUGGCGACCAUAGUCUGCAGAAAUGGCAGAAGCGGCUCACCACAUAGGCUAAAUAUGAAAUUGGUGAAAUAAUCAGAUAUUUG
Molecule: long non-coding RNA, 416 nt
Filed under: Marmota monax (woodchuck)
Lineage: Eukaryota; Metazoa; Chordata; Mammalia; Rodentia; Sciuridae
Source: RNAcentral